Molecule: unclassified non-coding RNA, 353 nt
Filed under: uncultured fungus
Lineage: Eukaryota; Fungi
Description: sequence contains ITS2
Source: RNAcentral
AACGCAAAUUGCGCUCUCGGGAUAGGCCUGAGAGCACGCCUCUUUGAGUAUCGAUUCCACCACCUCCAGAACAAACUUGUUUUGACACUGGGAAUUUGAGUGCUUCAUAUCUCUUUUCUGAGAUGUGUCACUUGAAGCGGAAUGGAAUUGAGGGUGUUGCGAAACUGCUGUUGUUGAAUGUCAGUUUGCUGAAGUGGACUUGAACAUGGAUAAAUUUCCAAUGAUCAAUACGCUCUGGCUUUCUGAUAUCAGCGAAUCUAAGUUUUGCAAACAAAGAAGCCCUCUCCUAAACUAAUAACUUAACAAUCUAAGAAUUAGAUCUCAAAUGAAGCGAGACAACCCGCUGAACUUAA